Molecule: ribosomal RNA, 253 nt
Filed under: uncultured Oscillospira sp.
Lineage: Bacteria; Bacillati; Bacillota; Clostridia; Eubacteriales; Oscillospiraceae
Description: partial 16S ribosomal RNA
Rfam family: Bacterial small subunit ribosomal RNA
Source: RNAcentral
UACGGAGGUGGCAAGCGUUAUCCGGAUUUACUGGGUGUAAAGGGCGUGUAGGCGGGACUGCAAGUCAGAUGUGAAAACCACGGGCUCAACCUGUGGCCUGCAUUUGAAACUGUAGUUCUUGAGUACUGGAGAGGCAGACGGAAUUCCUAGUGUAGCGGUGAAAUGCGUAGAUAUUGCGCAGAACUCCGAUUGCGAAGGCAGCAUACCGGCGGCGAUCUGACGCUGAGGCACGAAAGCGUGGGUAUCGAACAGG